Molecule: non-coding RNA, 423 nt
Organism: Cinara cedri
Lineage: Eukaryota; Metazoa; Arthropoda; Insecta; Hemiptera; Aphididae
Source: the annotation of a GenBank genome assembly
UAAUCUUAUAACUAAUAUUAUUUUGCCAUCAAUUUAAUUACUUGUUUUUGCACAAUCUGUUUGUAGAUGAUAUUAUAUUAUAGCGCUGUUAAAUGGUUUUAGGCUCUGAGUAUGUGUGUAUGUCACCCUCUUAAAGAAUAGUGUUAUUUAAAAUAUUACAAUUUUGUACUAUACAGUUAAUUAUACUUUAAUGAACCGAAUACUUGAUGAAUAAAAUCAACAUCAAUGCCACAAAAAAAAAAAAUAUAUGUAUACAUAUUAUAUUUUUUUAUUUCUAUCUUAUUAAGUCAAUGAUUUUCUAUAGUUUAAACAUGAAACUAGGUACUUAUUUACCAAAAACAAUUUAUUUACAUUGAAUAAUCUUAAAAAAUCAAUAUAGGUGAAUAAUAUAUUAUUAAUGUAGGUAGUUUUUUUUAGAAAUUU